Molecule: ribosomal RNA, 324 nt
Filed under: uncultured bacterium
Lineage: Bacteria
Description: bacterial SSU rRNA
Rfam family: Bacterial small subunit ribosomal RNA
Source: RNAcentral
AUUGAACGCUGGCGGCAUGCCUUACACAUGCAAGUCGAACGGCAGCACGGGAGCAAUCCUGGUGGCGAGUGGCGAACGGGUGAGUAAUAUAUCGGAACGUGCCCAGUCGUGGGGGAUAACGCAGCGAAAGCUGUGCUAAUACCGCAUACGAUCUCUGGAUGAAAGCGGGGGACUCGCAAGGGCCUCGCGCGAUUGGAGCGGCCGAUAUCAGAUUAGCUAGUUGGCGGGGUAAAGGCCCACCAAGGCGACGAUCUGUAGCUGGUCUGAGAGGACGACCAGCCACACUGGAACUGAGACACGGUCCAGACUCCUACGGGAGGCAGC